This is a long non-coding RNA of Dipodomys ordii (Ord's kangaroo rat), 505 nucleotides long. RefSeq lists it as uncharacterized. Lineage: Eukaryota; Metazoa; Chordata; Mammalia; Rodentia; Heteromyidae. The record is from RefSeq and is a predicted model, not a curated record. The transcript has 3 exons.
AGUGAGUUCAAGCCCAGUACUGGCACAAAAAGAAAAAAAAAGGAAUCUGAGCCUAGCCUGAACAUCAUAAUGAGUUCCUGGCUAGUCUGGGUUGCAUAGGAAAGGCAGAAGUGUGUUACUCAGAACCUCUAGCUCGUCUUCAAAGGCUUUUCAGCAACUUUUUUUUUUUUUUUUUUGGUACCGACAUUGGGGCUUGAACAGGGGACUUGGGACAGUUCUCAUUUGUCUUUUUGGAUCAUGGCUGGUACUAAACCACUUGAGACAUAUCUGUAGUCCAGCUUCUUUUUCCCUGGCAAUUGAAGCACCCACCAAUACUGACAUUUAUUGCAGAAAAGUCAGAAUCAACUCCCAUCAAGCAAAUGGAUUCCUGUCAUCAUUUCCUAUUUGACACAAGUCUGUGGAUCCCAGCCAGAAAGUUCUUGGUCUUGUUCAAGAAAGAAUUCAAGGACACAGAGGAAGAAGCUUAUUAAUGCUAAGUCAAAGCUGAGCAGAAAUGCUCUCUCUG